Lonchura striata (white-rumped munia) is the source of this 626-nucleotide non-coding RNA. The record is from RefSeq and is a predicted model, not a curated record. Lineage: Eukaryota; Metazoa; Chordata; Aves; Passeriformes; Estrildidae.
CAAACACAGCAAACACAGUUACCCUUGACAGACACGGCUGUGUCCAACGAUGGAAACAAUAGCUUCAUCACUUUAAAACUGGCAAAAUUUAAUCUCUCGCAGAAAACACACUAGGAAAUCUAUCCUGAAAGAGCUUAAGAUACUUGGAAAGCAAAAGCACCUGCAUGUUGAACUAUAAAUGAGCAGAACUCUUUUAGAGCAGGACAUGCGGCCCACGCUCGGCGCCCCCGGCGGCCCGGGCUCUCGCCGUGCUGCAGACGAAGAACCCGGCACAGCGGCAGAGCGGCGAGAAGCGACUGGGGCAAACGACUGUCUCAUCCUCUCAAGAAGUGGAACAUCUCUAUUGCACUUAAGAAGAUGAGGCAAUAGAGCCCAAAAGUACUGACACACCACCAGUGAUCUGAAUCUUGAAAUUUUAUUCCCUGGAAAAGGACAAGUCAUCAGGGAGCUUUUUCCUCCUCAAGGUAUCCUUGAAGACCUUACUGGAUACCCACUCACAUAUUUAAGCACAUAAUCAAUUUUAAAAAUCAAUGGAAUAGUUUCUAUUAAACUGGCCCCCCCUCCAAUAACUGAUCUGUUUCUGUGUUUUUAUGCCAUCUGCAUUUUUGACAACUGAAUAUUUUUGA